RNAcentral lists this ribosomal RNA (497 nucleotides) under uncultured bacterium. RNAcentral describes it as "partial 16S ribosomal RNA". It matches the Rfam family "Bacterial small subunit ribosomal RNA", at positions 28 to 507 of the family's 1533-position model. The record is from RNAcentral.
GAUGAACGCUGGCGGCGUGCCUAAUACAUGCAAGUCGAGCGAACAGAUGAGGAGCUUGCUCCUCUGACGUUAGCGGCGGACGGGUGAGUAACACGUGGAUAACCUACCUAUAAGACUGGGAUAACUUCGGGAAACCGGAGCUAAUACCGGAUAAUAUAUUGAACCGCAUGGUUCAAUAGUGAAAGACGGUUUUGCUGUCACUUAUAGAUGGAUCCGCGCCGCAUUAGCUAGUUGGUAGGGUAACGGCUUACCAAGGCAACGAUGCGUAGCCGACCUGAGAGGGUGAUCGGCCACACUGGAACUGAGACACGGUCCAGACUCCUACGGGAGGCAGCAGUAGGGAAUCUUCCGCAAUGGGCGAAAGCCUGCCGGAGCAACGCCGCGUGAGUGAUGAAGGUCUUCGGAUCGUAAAACUCUGUUAUUAGGGAAGAACAAAUGUGUAAGUAACUAUGCACGUCUUGACGGUACCUAAUCAGAAAGCCACGGCUAACUACGUG